Molecule: long non-coding RNA, 893 nt
Filed under: Anas platyrhynchos platyrhynchos (common mallard)
Lineage: Eukaryota; Metazoa; Chordata; Aves; Anseriformes; Anatidae
Description: lncRNA (ENSAPLG00000027770.1)
Source: RNAcentral
GGGUCAUUGUUGUGGUGUCAUGGCCGCUGUUGAGGUGUCAUGGCUGCCCUGGUCGUUGUUGGGGUGUCAUGGCCGCCAUCGGGGUGUCAUGGCCGCCGUCGGGGUGUCAUGGCCGCCGGGGUUAUCCUUGGGGUGUCAUGGCCGCCGUGGUCAUCGCUGGGGUGUCAUGGCUGCCUUGGUGGUGUCAGCGCUGCCUUUGGGGUUGUCACGGUGAGCACCACGAUGACGUCACGCCAACCACGAUGACGUCACGCCAACCUCAUUGACCUCUCACCAACCACGGUGAUGACCAUGGUGACCACCACGAUGACCUCACACCAACCACGAUGAUGACCUCUUGCCAACCAUGGUGAUGACCACGACGACCUCUUGCCAACCACGUUGACCUCUUGCCAAAGACAUUGAUGACCUCUUGCCAACGAUGAUGACCCAACACCACCACGUUGACCUCUUGCCAACCGCGUUGACUUCUCCCCAACGCCGCUGCCUCCUCGCCCACCAGGCCCACCAGAAGGCCCACCAGAAGGCCCACCAGAAGGCCCACCAGAAGGCCCACCAGAAGGCCCACCAGAAGGCCCACCAGAAGGCCCACCAGAAGGCCCACCGCCAGGCCCACCACCAGGCCCACCACCAGGCCCACCAGAAGGCCCACCACCGGGCCCACCAGGCGGUGGCCUAGUUGAGCGUGCCGCGGCAGCUCUCGGUGCGGCACAGGCAGGGGAUUUUGGUGUCCUCGAUGGGGAACUUGUAGUCGUAGGUGAUCUCCUCGUUGACCCCGAUGGGCUGCUUCGAGUAGAUGACGAUCUUCUUCUGCGCCUCGAUGGUGAUCACCUUGGCGUAGCAGUUGGGCUGCGGUGGUGGGAGGGGGACGCCAGGGGGUCACGGGGGUGGAA